UUAUUUCGGUUGAAGUUUUCGNANGGAUACUGGUUUAACUUANUGGCGAACGGGUGAGUAACGCGUGAGUAACCUGCCCUGGAGUGGGGGACAACAGUUGGAAACGACUGCUAAUACCGCAUAAGCCCACGGUCCGGCAUCGGAUUGAGGGAAAAGGAUUUAUUCGCUUCAGGAUGGACUCGCGUCCAAUUAGCUAGUUGGUGAGGUAACGGCCCACCAAGGCGACGAUUGGUAGCCGGACUGAGAGGUUGAACGGCCACAUUGGGACUGAGACACGGCCCAGACUCCUACGGGAGGCAGCAGUGGGGGAUAUUGCACAAUGGGGGAAACCCUGAUGCAGCGACGCCGCGUGGAGGAAGAAGGUUUUCGGAUUGUAAACUCCUGUCGUUAGGGACGAAUCUUGACGGUACCUAACAAGAAAGCACCGGCUAACUACGUGCCAGCAGCCGCGGUAAAACGUAGGGUGCAAGCGUUGUCCGGAAUUACUGGGUGUAAAGGGAGCGCAGGCGGACCGGCAAGUUGGAAGUGAAAUCUAUGGGCUCAACCCAUAAAUUGCUUUCAAAACUGCUGGCCUUGAGUAGUGCAGAGGUAGGUGGAAUUCCCGGUGUAGCGGUGGAAUGCGUAGAUAUCGGGAGGAACACCAGUGGCGAAGGCGACCUACUGGGCACCAACUGACGCUGAGGCUCGAAAGCAUGGGUAGCAAACAGGAUUAGAUACCCUGGUAGUCCAUGCCGUAAACGAUGAUUACUAGGUGUUGGAGGAUUGACCCCUUCAGUGCCGCAGUUAACACAAUAAGUAAUCCACCUGGGGAGUACGACCGCAAGGUUGAAACUCAAAGGAAUUGACGGGGGCCCGCACAAGCAGUGGAGUAUGUGGUUAUUCGAAGCAACGCGAAGAACCUUACCAGGUCUUGACAUCCGAUGCAUAAUGCAGAUAUGCAUGAAGUCCUUCGGGACAUCGAGACAGGUGGUGCAUGGUUGUCGUCAGCUCGUGUCGUGAGAUGUUGGGUUAAGUCCCGCAACGAGCGCAACCCUUAUUGCCAGUUACUACGCAAGAGGACUCUGGCGAGACUGCCGUUGACAAAACGGAGGAAGGUGGGGAUGACGUCAAAUCAUCAUGCCCUUUAUGACCUGGGCUACACACGUACUACAAUGGCGUUUAACAAAGAGAAGCAAGACCGCGAGGUGGAGCAAAACUCAAAAACAACGUCUCAGUUCAGAUUGCAGGCUGCAACUCGCCUGCAUGAAGUCGGAAUUGCUAGUAAUCGCGGAUCAGCAUGCCGCGGUGAAUACGUUCCCGGGCCUUGUACACACCGCCCNUCACACCAUGAGAGCCGGGGGGACCCGAAGUCGGUAGUCUAACCGCAA
RNAcentral lists this ribosomal RNA (1367 nucleotides) under Subdoligranulum variabile. RNAcentral describes it as "bacterial SSU rRNA". It matches the Rfam family "Bacterial small subunit ribosomal RNA". The record is from RNAcentral. RNAcentral also lists the same sequence under 1 other name. Lineage: Bacteria; Bacillati; Bacillota; Clostridia; Eubacteriales; Oscillospiraceae.